Molecule: long non-coding RNA, 1018 nt
Filed under: Bos taurus (domestic cattle)
Lineage: Eukaryota; Metazoa; Chordata; Mammalia; Artiodactyla; Bovidae
Description: long non-coding RNA NONBTAT013920
Source: RNAcentral
AAAAUCCAAGGCCUUUAAUUAGGUUUUCAGUAAUGACCAUAAAUGCCUUCUCAAAACCCCUUUCACUGAAAGCAGAAGGCAACAGGCAUUACACAACACCCUGAAAGCAGUGAUUCCUUCUGACGCUGGUGAGGUGAAGAUAAACAUUAAAUGGCAGGUUUUAGAUCUUAACAAGGUCUCUUCAGAAAAAAAAAAAAAAGACAACUUUAAAAAUCACACAAAAAAUUAAGUUAUCACUCAGUCUUUGUCAGGUUCCCAAUGCAGUUUUAAGUUAUUUUUACAAGUACAUAAUUUGAAAUUAAUAGAUAAACCCGGUAAGUAAGAUAUGGUUUUCAGUAUGUGUUAGGUUUUCUGUUAAGUAUAGUAAAUAUGUAGAUACAAUUAUUAUGCUAACUGGCAUCCUUUGCUACUCUUUAGCUGUGCAAAAUAAACUUGAAAUGAUACAUCCUGUAGUGGUAUAAUUUAAAAAAUCCUUGAUGUGACACUAACCACUUUCAAACUCUGGUCACAAACUGCAUAUAAAUUGUAGGAUUAUUAAAAUACGCCUUUUUGAAAAAUAAUAAGAUGACCAUUUAUAUCUAAAUAAGGUUUCCCAGGAAGAUAUUAAAUACUUUAGCAUAUAAAAGUUGCUGCCCCUUUUCCAUGAGGACAACUGUUGCUUCACAAAAUAGCUCAUGUGAUCCAAGGCAAAUGACUUCUUUCAAAUGCAGUAUUCUUUCCAUGACUUUGAGGUAUGCUUCAAGAGACCUACAUCCAUAAGAAAAGGGCACAUUUGGAUAGAAGACCACAGUUACAUACACCAAGGGAUGCCUAUUUUAAAUAGUGGCUUCUUCAGGACACUCCUAUUCAAACACCAACGGAAAGAACCUUAUUCUACCAAACCACAAUCUUCUAUUUUUGGCAAGGUAGUACACUGUAAACAAAACAGAAGCAAACAAAAACAACAACAAAACUAGCUUAGAUACAACAGUGAUUCAGGCAAAAGUUCCCAGGUCAACAGCAGGGAAAGUAAUCUGAG